CCUUGAGGAAAAGGUUAUUAUAGUGCAUAUAAAAUACAAAGUUGAGGAAAUCUAAUAUCACAUGCAAUGCCUUUUAGGAUCAGGUAUAGUUUACUAUGGAUCUUGAUUUUCUUUUCUCUAUCUAUCUCUUUUUGUCUCUUAAAUUGAUUGCACCCGUGGAUUGUUUAAGACCUUAAAAAAGACCAUAAGAAAUGUUUCCCAUUUGUUUAUUAUCAACAUAAUUUUUAGAUUUUCUAAAAAUUUGUUGAGAUCAAGAUUUAUGUUUCUAAACAUAAUAUGGUUACAUACUAUAUUUGAAAAGAGUUACUAUAAUAUGUAUUACAAAAAUACUGUAAAUGUCUGGUGAAUAGUUUAAAAUAUUUAGGCUAAAUUGCAUAUUUUGCUUAAAAAAUGAGAAGUAUCUUUAAAAAAUAGAUCAGAUAGGGUUUUCUAAGCCUUGGAAGCUGUUGCUGUUAGAUUUUCCUUAUGGUACCCAGUAUGUCACAGUUAUUAUCUAUCAGACAGACUGUUUUAAGAAUUAGUGACCAAACCACUCAGAGACAUUUUAUACAAAUGGUAUAAAUUGAGCCUAAGUUCUCCUUAGGGUACCAAAAGGAAGACGGAAAAAGAAAUUUGGAAGCAAAAUUAUCAGUUUCAUACCUGCCUUCUGACCUUCCUGCUCAAUUGUGUUCAAAAGACAAGUUUCUUUAAACUUUAAAUCCAAUUCCCUUGGAAAGCAUACACUUAGAAACCAGGAUGCAUGGGACACAAAAGGAACAGUGAAUACCAGAGGAUCAGAGAACACUUACCAGAACCAUAAAAAAGGCAGCAAUAGGAUUAUUCUGGGACCAAUUCCCUCUCCUGUAUGACUUCAAUGAGUCCGAAUAUGCAUUAACAUCAGCAGGCCAAAUGACUGAUGGCUUGGGACUCAUCCAUAUUUAUCUUCUCAGGACUGGACAGACAUCCUAUUGAUUCCUAGGUCAUUACACAACAUGUUAGCAAUCCAUACCAUCCAGUUCAAAAGGAAAUUUAAAAUUAGUGAUGGAUCUUCUUGCAGGUCUGUGCCGAGGGCACAAGAUGAGUAGUCAAGCAUUAGUCUAUUUUGACAUCUCUACACUCAUUUAAUGUCAAUCAGUCUUACACAGAAGAUUCUAAAAGUUGGAAAAUACAGAGCUUGUCUCGUUAAAGGAACAUUUUAAAGACUCUAAGUCUGUUUAUAGAGCCAAUAUAUUUGUGGUAGAAAAAUCACUUCUAGGAAAACUCACACAGAUGUAUGUGUACACACAUGCUCCAAAACACACAAUCUGAAAUAAAGUUAAUACAUUUACUACAUAGAAGGGAGAUUUAAUUAAAGUAUUCUGAAAAUGACCUUAUUUUAUUCUAGAAGAAAUGUGUGUAUAUGUGUCUCUUACAUGUAUAUUGUACGAAUGAGAGUUUUACUAGGUCAUUAAUAAAAAGAAUCAUUUAAAGGUCAUUUUAAAAAGAAAACAAACAGAACAAAAGAAAGGUAAAAACAAAGUCCAGAUGAAAAUUCCAUUAAAAAAUAUCCCAAUUAGUCACUGUGAUCAUCACUGAGAAUUUUGAAAUUCUUAGUAGACAAAGAAAAAAAAAGGCAUUAGCUAUUUUUUAACCAAAAAAAUCCCUUUAAAAACACCAAAAUAUGUCUAAUAUUCAGUCUUGUAGAAUCUUAGCUGCUUUCUGAGAGCAAUGCUGAGAAGUUUACAAGAGUGAAACAGAGCCCUACUUUCUUCAGCUAUUCCCAUGCUUUCGAAGUUCAUGUAACUUGAUUUUUGCAGUUGCAGAAACUGGCAGUUAAUCUAAGUCCAGGCCUUGACAUGCCUGGAGGCGCUCAGCUGCGAAGUCAGCCUCAUGCAGGGUAACAGCACAAGGCUUUAUUUGGUUUUGAAAAUUAAACCAAAAGGCGACUAUUCAGUGGGCUAUUUGAUAGGGAAUUAAGUUCUCAAAUGACAUUAAAAUCAUCCUGUAAUCCGGAGGUGACUUUGAAAUAAAGAGCCCACUUUAAAAAAGCUCAUAGCACAAUUUAUUCAUCCACAUGUGUGCUGUACCCUAUAACCCUGGAGGGCGCCACAUUUAUUCCAACAAUGUAUUCAUUGAUCCAAAUAUUUGUGUAACUUCUCCUUUGGAAUUGUCCUCAGACCCCAUUGCAUUUCUAUGCCUAUUAUUAAUUCACGUAUGUACUAACUCAUUCAUUCAACAAUUUUUUCUUGAACCUCACUACUUCAGGUAUAGCUCUAGCUGCUGGUGAUCAAGCAGUGAACGAAAGUAAUGGACAAAAACCUGCCCUCCAGGACUUUGCAUCUUAAGUGUGAGAAGAAAGGCAAAAAUAAGUAAAUCAAGGGCCUGCCAGAAGGUGGAAAGUGCUAAGGAGAAAAUCAAGCUAGGAAGGAGGAUAUGAAAGGCUUAGAUGGGAAGAAGAGCUUUCUGUAAAAGCCCCACUGCAAGGCAAAGAGUUAAAGAUGGUGAGGAAGAGAGCCAUGUAUAUGUCUCAGGAAAGAACAGCACGUGCAAAACUGUAUUUUACAGCAUUUUUAAAAUCUGAAUUCAUAAACAGAAACAAAGUUAAGUAAUUUGGGGGUGGUCAUAAAAAAAUCCUUUUAGUCAAAUCAUUAUGCUGUACAUUUUUAAACUUUUACAGUGUUAUAUGUCAAUUAUGUCUCAACAAGACUGGAAAAAGAUCUCCCCCAACGAUGCACAUAUAACCAUACACAUUAUAUACACAAAGACGCAUAUAACAUACAGCAGAAUUUUAUUAUAAGAAGUUGCCAAUUGGUGGGCUUAAGUUCUUCUUUAUUGCCUGGAUGUAACAGCCCUAUGAUUCUCCCCACUUUCAUGCUGUUUUGUUGCAUGUUUAGUAACAAUAUUCCUAAUGUAGCAAAUUCCCAUUUACUGUCAACAUCUUGGAGUUUCCUCCCCACCUCUUUGCCUUCAUUGGAGCUUGGCUCCCCUCUGGAGACACCACUAAGCCAGCAGCCUUCUCAAGUGCUUUCUUUUUAUUUUCUGGGAACUUAAGAUAUGCCAUAGGCUGGUGCUUUCAUACUCUUCUUUACCGUUUCCAACAACCAUGAUUCCCCUGUCCCUGUUAAAAGCAAAACAAAACAAAACUUUCUUCCUGCUUCUGAUAGAUCAUGCUCCCUUCUUACUUGCUGCCAUCUCCAGCCUCUCUGCUGUCACACUUUAUAUAAUGAAAAUUUUUGGCAAUGGCUCCCAGACUUCCUUGAAGCACUCAUAACCUUCAACGUUCAGGUUGUUUUCAACAUCCAUGUACCCUGAUCUCUCAGGUCCUUGAUCUCCCCAUUGAAGGAUUAUUUUUCCUGUCCCAUCUCUCAACUAUGCUCUCUUUCUGUCAAAUAAAGGUAUAAAUAUCACCUGAGACUCUUCGCACAUCUAAAAUCACAAAUUCAAGCACAACCUCCUCUUACAGUGUGUUUGUAAAACAACUGAUAUUUUAACCUCAAAAAAACCUACAGAACACAGUCUGCUUUACCUGAUAUGGACCAUCAUUCCUACUCUUUAUUCUCUUAAUAUUUAGCAUAGGUUUCCUGACCUUCAUUUCAAUCAUGGCAUGAGAACAUCCAAAUUCUUUGAUCUCUUCAUUAAACUUGCACUGCAAAGAUGCAAUGCGACAUAAACUACCUACGUUCUCCAGCCUGCUCAGGAAUAUCAACGUCAUGCUGAGAAAUGUCCCACAACAGGGCACACAGUCAAAAUAAAUGUAUGACCUUCAAGAAGCCCAAACAUUGGUCACUGGGACAGAAAAAUUCUCUCCCACUCUUCUGAAAUAACAUGCAAAUCUUCUUUGAGCUCCUGAAAACUACUUCUAUUUGGGUCCUCACUCUGUAUAGACGACCCCAAUUCCUACUUCAUAAUGAAAAGUGAAUUUUCCUCAAGGAUUCUUUUGACUUUCUUCUUCCAAACAACUCCUCCUACCUUUGUGCUUCUCCUUGUCUUUUGCCCUCCUGCUAUAGCAAAGGGGCUGCUUUUAUAUCUAAGACCAAUCCCACAUCCUCUGCUCUGAAUGAUGAUCUUUCUCCACCUUCUCAAAGAACUUGUGCUUUCAAUUUUUCUUGCUUUUAUACAUUCAAACACACCUUCUCAAUGUGAUUCUUCCCAAUGACAGUUACACUUGCUCCAAUACAUGAUUUUUUUAAAAAGAAAAGUAGGCCUCAAACCUUUGUCAGCUUUACGAAUCCCUCUACUACCACCCAUCCUCUUUCUUCACAGUCACUAUUUAAAACAUGUGUCUGUGGGUUGAUUUUCUUCACUCUUCUUUUCCCUUGACUACUCAGUCCAGCGUGGCUUCUUCACGGAUUAUACCACAGUAAAAGGUCUUGAAUAAGGUCACCAGAGCCAUAGUGAUUCCAAAGUGACAGGUUAUUUUUCAACACUAACUUCUUUGCUCCUCUUGGCAACGUGGACAAUGGUGAAUAUUUCUUAAUUCCAUCAAACAUUCUUCUAGUCCUUGUGACACCCCUCUCUGGUUUCAUUACUACCUCUCCGGCUGCUGUUUUCCUCCCAGCUUCUUGAUAGUCUAAUCGUCCGCCGCAGACCCCUUACUGUGGGAGUUGUUCAAGGCUAUGUCAUGGGCUCUUCUUCCUUCACUCUCUCUGAGUCUUCCUAGGCAAUUUCUUCCAUGUUCAACUUUUCUACUAUCACCUAUGUGCAGACAACUCCUAGAAUUGUUCUUCUACCUCAACCCUCCUCAUUGAGCCUUAGAUAUGUAUGCAGGGCAUGAAAUGCAGUAUCACUAUCCAAACAGCUAAGAAGAGACUGUAAUCCAGCUGAACUUAUGACCUUCUCUCCCAUAACCCAGUCCUCUACCUUCUUUGGCUGGCUUGGGGAAUGACAUCACUGAGGCAGCUAUGCAAACCUGAACGUUAGGAGUCGUCCUGCUUCUGACCUCCACAUUACCUCCCAAGUUUAAUUCAUCACAGAAUUUUGUCAAUUUAAUUUCCCAAAUUACACUCCAAUUCAUUCACUUCUCUCUAUCUUCUCUACCAGCAGCUUAGCCUAAGCUACCAUUAUUGUGAUUAACUAUUUGAUCUUACAGGGUGAAUGCUACAGGCUCUGUCACCACCAGUCUCUCAGUUAAUUACUUGUUUGUACAAAAGACCUCAGAUGCACUAUAUUCCUCAAAAAUGUCAGUGUCAUAAAAGACAAAGGCACUCAAAAGCUCUAAAGAGACAUGAAAACUAAAUGCAAUACCUGAUCCUAGACUGGAUCCUGUACUGUUGGUAAAAAAAUAUUAUGAAGAUAUUAUUGGGUCCAUUGAAAAAAGUGAGAUAUGGAUUACAUAAAAGUGGUUGUAUUCAUGUUAGUUUAUCAAAGUUGAGAACUCUCCUAUAUAAGAGAUAUAUAGGAGAAUAUUUCCAUUCUUGGAAAUACAAAUCAAGGUGUUGUAAGAAAAAGAGAAAAUUAGGUAAAAUGUUAAUAGAUGAAUAAAGUUAUGACUGGUGUUUGUAAGGUACUUAUACUUUGUCCUAUUCUAAUACUAUUCUACACUUUUAAAAACAUUUAAAAAUUCCUCAGUCCCAUAGGAGAUUAAACUAACUGUGUAUCAGGGAAAAAAACAAAACGAAACCAACCAACUAACCAAACAAAAACCCCAAACAAACAAAAAGCUCCUUGCUCUACCACUUUCUAGUUGUAUAAUUUUACUCUGCUUUACCUUCCUCAACUAUAAAACAGACCCUUAUUCAUG
RNAcentral lists this long non-coding RNA (5698 nucleotides) under Sus scrofa (pig). RNAcentral describes it as "lncRNA (ENSSSCG00060010797.1)". Lineage: Eukaryota; Metazoa; Chordata; Mammalia; Artiodactyla; Suidae. The record is from RNAcentral.